AUUUAUAUAGUUUAUAAAAAUAUUAAAUUGCAAAUUUAAAGAUAUUAGAAUUAAUUAUAAAUU
RNAcentral lists this transfer RNA (63 nucleotides) under Lasioglossum minutissimum. RNAcentral describes it as "tRNA-Cys". Lineage: Eukaryota; Metazoa; Arthropoda; Insecta; Hymenoptera; Halictidae. The record is from RNAcentral.